GGGGCCAUAGUUCAGCUGGGAGAAUGCUACAAUGGCAUUGUAGAGGUCGCGGGUUCGAUCCCCGCUGGCUCCACCA
RNAcentral lists this transfer RNA (76 nucleotides) under Pseudomonadales bacterium. Its description in RNAcentral is "tRNA-Ala". It matches the Rfam family "tRNA". From Rfam's summary of the family: Transfer RNA (tRNA) molecules are approximately 80 nucleotides in length. Their secondary structure includes four short double-helical elements and three loops (D, anti-codon, and T loops). Lineage: Bacteria; Pseudomonadati; Pseudomonadota; Gammaproteobacteria; Pseudomonadales. RNAcentral also lists the same sequence under 1 other name. The record is from RNAcentral.